This 253-nucleotide ribosomal RNA is filed under the name uncultured bacterium. RNAcentral's name for it is "partial 16S ribosomal RNA". It matches the Rfam family "Bacterial small subunit ribosomal RNA", at positions 524 to 776 of the family's 1533-position model. The record is from RNAcentral.
UACGUAGGGUGCAAGCGUUGUCCGGAAUUAUUGGGCGUAAAGAGCUCGUAGGCGGUCCGUCGCGUCUGCCGUGAAAACCCGGGGCUCAACCCCGGGCCUGCGGUGGAUACGGGCGGACUAGAGUCCGGUAGGGGAGACUGGAAUUCCUGGUGUAGCGGUGAAAUGCGCAGAUAUCAGGAGGAACACCGAUGGCGAAGGCAGGUCUCUGGGCCGGUACUGACGCUGAGGAGCGAAAGCGUGGGGAGCGAACAGG